GUGUUGUAGGCCAAUGGUAGGACACGAGGCACAAUAUCAUCCGUCAGAUUAAUGGGCUUGGAACGGGCUUCUUUGAUAAGCGUGGAUUCGUCCUUCAGGUCUCCCACCAGUAGCCUGUAAGAGUUGCCUUUGAGGCCCUGCUGGUUCAGGAGUUUCUCAAGCUUCUUCGGUCUAAACCAAAUCCAGUCCAAAACUCCCCAUACAGAUAUUAUCACAAGAAGAAUGAAACAAGAGGCUGCAAUCAAGUUGUUCAUCAUCUCUUAUCAUAAGGAGAUAUUAUGUAAGUGAAGCCCUCCUUAAUUAGAAUUUGGUAGGUAGAUCAAAAUAAUGGGAUAUAAUUUUGGAUUGUUGAAUACUCAAUUAUAUACUAGUGGGAUUGGAAAUGGCACAAUAUUUGUUUGUUGACUAUUUCACCUAGGAUCCUAUCCAUUAAGCAAGAAGACAACUUUUGAAUAUUCAAUUAUGAAUAAUGCUAGAGACACAAACUAUUUUAUAAAUAUUUUAUAAAUUACUGAUGUGGCAUACUCCACCUCAGCAUAUUGUGUGGGGCCAAAGACUACAUUAAAGCAAUUUGUUAAUCAAUAUGCUGAGGUGGAAUAUGUCACAUUAGCAGUUUGUAAAAUAAUUUGUGUCUGUAUCAUCACUCUUCAAUUAUAUACUAGUGGGAUUUUAAAUAGAUGUACGUACGUGGCACAAUUUCAAACACAGGAUUACAAGGAGCUUACUGAAUAUCGAUAUCAAAUGUUAUCAUUAUAAAUUACUCUCUCCAUUCUAUAAUAAAAAUUAUUUUAAUUUAUUUAUCGUUUACAAUUUUAUUCAAAAAUAAAUAUAUAAUAUGUUUAAACAAUAUAUUAUCAAUUGGUUUAAAUAUGAAUUAGUACCCUAAACUAUAGGUCAUAUUCCACUUCGGUGAUCCACCUUUCAAUUUUGUCAAUUAGAUGAUUAAACUAUCAAUUUUUUCAAUUGGACCAAAUUGAACAUGCCACGUCAGAAAUUGCUGACGUGGCUUAUUAUGUGGGACCUUAAGAAGCUUAUUUGGCAAAAAAAACUAUUUUUAAAUUAUUAAAUAAACAACUCUGUUUAACACAAAGGGCAAAUUAGUCAAAACCUAAAUUUAACAUUUCAAAUUAAAAUAAAACAAACAUUACGCUAAAUAUAUCAGUUCUCUUCCAUUACAAUUGAUCGAUCAAGACAAAAGCCCCCAAUCAAACGAAAAAAUCCUAGCUAAACAUGGAAUGAUUCUCAUCAUCAGAACCGCCUCUCCCUCCAUCCCUUUCCGAGGUCUCCUCCCUCCCNNNNNNNNNNNNNNNNNNNNNNNNNNNNNNNNNNNNNNNNNNNNNNNNNNNNNNNNNNNNNNNNNNNNNNNNNNNNNNNNNNNNNNNNNNNNNNNNNNNNGAUCGAUUUUUCGAUGGCGGCUUUGAGAUUUGAGUGUGAUUUGGUUGUCGGCGGCGGCGACGGCGACUUUGAGCUUUGGGAAUGAUUUUGUUGUGCCGUCGGCGGCUGAGGAGAUGGGUAUUCAGUAUAUAGAGGCCGGUGUUCAUUGUUUUCAUUCCUUUUGGGGACCGAGCUAUGAAAAAAUCGAGCUGGCCGGUGUAUAUGAAGGCUUCCCCUGCACCCACCAAAAAGAAUUGUAGAUUGAUUUGUCUGAUGAUUUUUGUUUCUUGUGUUGUUAUUGAUUUGGUCUUGUUAUUGAUUUGGUUUUGCUGUUUGUUUGUUUUGCGAAAUCUUGUGAUUUGGUUUUGGCUUGAUUCAGUAUCUUUGUUUGUUUGAAAGCAUUUGUGCUAUUACUGAAAUCUUGCUUUUCUCAGACCACGUUCGCCGGAAUCGUUGAGCAAUUUGUGAUUCUUAGAGCUAGGAUUUUUUCGAUCUGACGUUGGGGCUUGUUUUUUUUAUGACCUUCUUUACUGUUGAUCGAUGAUGUUAUUGUUUGUGAAGCUUUUGAUUUGUUUAAUUUUAAUUAAUGUAUGGGUUGUGACCAUUUUACCCUCCGUUAUAUCAAAAAUGUUUAAUCAAUAAAUAAAAUAUUAUUUUCUCAUUACAACUCAGCUGACUAAUGGCCUACUCAGCUAGUCACGUCAGCAAUUUCUGACAUGACAGACCCAGUUGAAUGGAAGUGAAAAAAAUUAAUAGUUCAAUCAUCUAAUUGACAAAAUUGAAAGGUGAAUCACCAAAGUAGAAUAUGACCUAUAGUUUAGAGUAGUAAUUUAUAUUUAAGCCUUAUCAAUUUACUAUAGAAGAAACAAGAAGAAAAAGAUGAAUGAUCACUCAUUUUUUGUACAUACCAUAUUUUGAGAUGGUGUUGUAGGCCAAUGGUAGGACACGAGGCACAAUAUCAUCCGUCAGAUUAAUGGGCUUGGAACGGGCUUCUUUGAUAAGCGUCGAUCCUUCCUUCAGGUCUCCCACCAGUAGCCUGUAAGAGUUGCCUUUGAGGCCCUGCUGGUUUAGGAGUUUCUCAAGCUUCUUCGGUCUAAACCAAAUCCAGUCCAAAACUCCCCAUACGGGUAUUAUCACAAGAAGAAUGAAACAAGAGGCUGCAAUCAAGUUGUUCAUCAUCUCUUAUCAUAGGGAGAGAUUAUGUGAAAUUGUAAAUGAAGCCCUCUUUAUUUAUAGUUUGAUAAGUAGAUCAAAAUAAUUGAUAGA
This 2640-nucleotide long non-coding RNA is filed under the name Panax ginseng (ginseng). Its description in RNAcentral is "long non-coding RNA (PGIN_LNC017583)". The record is from RNAcentral. Lineage: Eukaryota; Viridiplantae; Streptophyta; Magnoliopsida; Apiales; Araliaceae.